GUUUAUAGAAAUGUUGGGCAACAUGCGCUCAUGGGCUCUCAUGAAGUGUUUGAUUACAUUUCCGAUCACAUUUGCCUUGAUGUCAGAGUGAUUAGAGGUCCAAUAGAGUGAUGAGUACCAGGCAAUUAGCAAGUUUGGUAGGCUACUAAUGACCAUCAGCAGCAUCAGAGCUUGGAGAAGCCUAAUUACCGUGACUCGUGACAGCCGGUAUACAGUCACCACAACAACCCUAGUUGUGGGUUUCGAUUCCCGCUGGGGCACCCCUUUACGUAAAAUGUAUGCAGGCAUGACGCAUCGUUCAAGUUGGCCCUGGAGAAGAAGACAAUAGAGCGAGAAACAUUGCUAACUCUAGCAGCUAUGGCUGGUCUGGUGGACGAUGAAGAUGCUACUUGACCAUGGAGUGUCUCCGCAUGGUUUUAUUUGGUCUCCCAAGUUUUCUGAGCAAAAAAAUUCCCUCGACCAUCCGCUCAAUAAAGAAAUCGUCCUGCGGCUGAAUCUAGUCGAUGAUCCCUGGUAUAAAGUCUGUGUCCUUGGCAUCACAACAAGUAUCAUUGUUGGAAUGACUCUUAGUAUAUUAUUCCACUGCUAUUCAACAUUUUUUGUGAUUUUUCCCGGUCAGCUGUUAG
Molecule: long non-coding RNA, 626 nt
Filed under: Salmo salar (Atlantic salmon)
Lineage: Eukaryota; Metazoa; Chordata; Actinopteri; Salmoniformes; Salmonidae
Description: lncRNA (ENSSSAG00000102664.1, ENSSSAG00075011177.1)
Source: RNAcentral